AAGGGAUAGCUGAUAAAAGGUUAGUGAU
Molecule: non-coding RNA, 28 nt
Filed under: Cricetulus griseus (Chinese hamster)
Lineage: Eukaryota; Metazoa; Chordata; Mammalia; Rodentia; Cricetidae
Source: RNAcentral